This 6235-nucleotide long non-coding RNA is filed under the name Ananas comosus (pineapple). Its description in RNAcentral is "long non-coding RNA (ACOM_LNC036326)". Lineage: Eukaryota; Viridiplantae; Streptophyta; Magnoliopsida; Poales; Bromeliaceae. The record is from RNAcentral.
GUGAGAACUAUUAAAAUAGUUCCCAGUGGGCAAUUACUGACUUCAGUGAAUGCACCCCAAGGCCCAAAGCUACAAAAGAUGUCAGUGACUAUAAAUGUAGAAAAGCGAAAGAUAAGUAAAAAUGUAACUUACUACAACAUGAUAUCUCUACUUAGCAUAAAUAGCAUAAGUAUGAAAGCAACUAUGCAUGAAGUAAAAGUCUCCAGCUAUCAUAACGUUCACAAUGCGAAAUAGUAAAGUUCCGUUGUUUACUAUUCUAGUCAAUGUCCAAGUAGUACACUAAGUCAUCAUCUGUCCACAUGUCAUAAUGAAUACUCAAAGUCAAAUCUGAAGAGACCCACCCGAAGGCUGUCUAUGGCCCUGAGACCCACCCGUAGGCUGUCUGGCCGGUACCGAGCCUAAUGGCCCCGUGGUAGUCAUCAUCCCCACCCUAGGAAUGAGCCUGGCCCACAGCAAUCCACUUCGGUGCCCAAUCCCGCACGGCGAAUAUGAAUCGCGAUGGCUAUCUCCGGAGUGCCGGCUUGUAGGGAGCGACCCUCACAAGCAUGUGCGAAUGAGCACAAUGGCAAGUAGUCAAACGAUCUGUCGCAAGUACCAAGUCCUCAUGUCUAAUAACAUGGAAUGUGUCAAGUAUCCCAAUGGCCUAUCCCUAUGUCAUCAUGUCUCUAACAUAGAAUAUAGCAGAUAUGUAGUGGCCUAUCAAUAUGUCUCUAUGUUGCAGUUUUAUAGUUUACUAGUUUCAAGUGCCCCUUUAUGACACUCUUGUUCUCUAUGUCGAAGCAUGGCAACUAUGUUCCAAAGUACAUAUUCCUCAUAAGAGAUGUAUUUUCCACUUGCAAAAUAAACACUUUUUCCGUAUGCAUGCAUUCAACUCAUAUAGCUCUACUAUAUAGUGAAAUUUUCAUAAUACACAAGGCAUGCAUUUUAAGUGCUCUAAAAUUCAUAUAAAUUCCAUUUAGCAUAGAAAUGAAUUUAAAAAUAUUUUACAACAAGUAGAAAGAGCAUAGGGGCCAUUUCGCCCCAUUUCCACGAAGCCAAACCCACCGAUGACAACGAAACUCCUCGUGCGCUCCCACGAGGGUGUCCUCUAGUCUCCUAGUACCCUAGAGGUAUAAAAACAUGUGUCAUACGAGCCAAACGAACAAUACCUAGCUCAAUCAUUAAGCUUCUCAAGCUAGGGUUAGAGAAAACUCACCGAUUGCGAAGGAAGCUCUCUCGAUCUCCAAACGGGAGUUAGAGUCCUUCCAAUCUAACCUAAACAAAGGUUCUAAACCCAUCAAUUUGGUACAAAAGCCCUCAAAACGAAAAUCCCCAAAUCUAACCCUAAAAUGCCAAAUCUAGGGUUUGAUCUAGUAAAAUCCAACAAAAUCCGAAUCUAGAGGAGAGAAAUUGCUACUAACCUCUUAGAAGCUCCAAACCAAGCUCCAAAGUCCUCUAGGGUUGAAGGUUGAUCCUCAAACAAGCUCCAACCAAGAUCUCACACUUCUCCAAUGGUGGAAAACCCACAAAAAGCAAGAAGGAGAAGAGAAAAGAGAUCAAAACUAGCAAAAACCCAACAAAAAUGAAGAAGAAACCAAAGGGGAGGAGUUCUCACCUUAUCUUCUCUGUUCUAGGGCUCAAAAGAGCAGCCAUGAGGGCUGGGGUGACUUAUAUAGGCGUUGCAACAAUUGCAAAAACACCCCUCUACGAAACAGUCAAAAUCUGCACUGCGUACCGGUACACGGGUUUGUGUACCGGUACACUGCCCACGAAAUGCCAAACCCGAGCCUCGGGUUCGCUGGGAAAUGCUCUGUGUACCGGUACACAACCACGUACCGGUACAGCCAUCAACCCCGUACCGGUACAGCAAGCGAACCCGUACCGGUACACGGCCUGCUGAAGGCCACCCGAGAGCUGACCAAAAAUCCAACUUUUUGGAUUUUGGUACACAGCUUUAAACCACAAUUCUCGGGACUCGAACCAUAGGUCGGAACACUGUCAACGACCUACCAGAAAGUCUGGAAAAGCUCGACACACAAAUCAAACACUCGAACCUCGCAAUUUGCAAAGGUCCAGUGUGUUACAUUCACCCCUCCUAAAAAGGAGUUUCGUCCGCGAAACUCGAAAGCAAACGUCAUACCUCAAGACUCCAUCUGAAAAAGAUGGGGAUAGCGCUCCUGCAGCGCACUCUCUAGCUCCCACGUGGCCUCGCGCUCCGCGUGGUUGCUCCAAAGAACCUUCACAUACGGAAUAUCCCGAUUCCGCAGCUUUUUCACCUCGCGAGCCAAAAUCUUCACGGGUUGCUCCUCGAAGCUCAAAUCCUCGCGCAGCUCCACUGGUAUAAUAUCCAAAACAUGAGCUGGAUCAUGAAUGUACCUCCGAAGGACCGAUACAUGAAAGACGUUGUGCACGCCCGAUAGGUUCGGUGGUAGAGCAAGUCGAUACGCUACCGGACCUACACGCUCCAAGAUCUCAUACGGUCCAAUGAAACGGGGGCUCAACUUUCCCCGAAUCCCGAAUCUCUUGAUUCCUCUAGUCGGCGAGACCUUCAAGAAAACAUGGUCUCCAACUUGGAACUCCAAGUCUCGCCGUCGUCGAUCGGCGUAGCUCCUCUGUCUACUCUGCGCCGUCAAAAGUCGCUCCCGAGCAAUUCGAACCUUGUCCUCAGCUUCCUGGAGCACAUCAGGGCCUAAAGCCAAACUCUCGCCAACUUCGCUCCAAUGAAGUGGCGAUCUACACUUCCGUCCAUAAAGUGCUUCGAAGGGCGCCAUCUUGAUGCUUGCUUGAUAACUGUUGUUAUAAGCAAACUCCGCCAUAGGUAGAUGCUGCGACCAUCCUCCCUGGAAGUCUAUCACACAUGCCCGGAGCAUAUCCUCUAAGGUCUGAAUAGUGCGCUCCGACUAUACAUCACUCUGCGGGUGGAAUGCUGUACUGAAAUCCAAUCGGGUGCCUAGGGCGUCCUGUAGACUCCUCCAAAAGUGAGACACAAACCGGGUGUCCCGAUCUGAUACUAUCGAUGUAGGCACUCCAUGAAGUCGCACAAUCUCAUCAAGGUACACUUGUGCGAGCUUCUCUCCGGUCCAAGUCGUAUGAAUAGGUAUGAAGUGCGCCGACUUCGUCAACCUAUCCACGAUCACCCAAAUAGCGUCAUGCCCCGCCUGUGAGCGUGGCAAUCCUGUCACAAAGUCCAUGGUGAUCUUCUCCCAUUUCCACACUGGAAUAGGCAAACUCUGAAGUUUUCCCGCGGGAACUCGGUGCUCUGCAUUCACUUGUUGGCAAGUUAAGCAUCUAGCGACAAACUCGCCAACAUCCUUUUUCAUCCCGGGCCACCAAUAGAGCAACUUUAAGUCCUUAUACAUUUUGGUGCCUCCCGGAUGUAUAGCAUACGGCGCUCGGUGCGCUUCUUGAAGAAUAUCUUCUUUAAUCCCCGAAUCCGCGGGUAUACAAAUCUAUCCACGGAAACGCAUCAAUCCCUGAUCGUCCAAAAGGAAAUCGCCGGUGCAACCAUCAACCAUUUUACCUCGAAUCUUUUGCAACUCCACAUCGGAAGCUUGCUUUUCUUUAAUUCUAUCCAACAAUGUAGGUUGCACCACCGAUGUCAACAACCUCAUAGGCGUGUUAGGAGUCACUAUCUCCAACUCCAACCGCUUCAUCUGCUCGAUCAACUACGGUUGAGUCACAGCAUGCAUCGCUAAGUUUUCCAUCGAUUUCUUACUUAGCGCAUCCGCCACCACGUUAGCCUUGCCCGGGUAGUAAAGAAUCGUCAGAUCAUAAUCUUUGAGUAGCUCCAACCAUCUACGCUGCCUCAAGUUCAACUCCUUCUGAGUAAAUAGGUACUUUAAGCUCUUGUGAUCCGUGUAUACUUCACACCGCUCGCCAUAAAGAUAGUGGCGCCAUAGCUUCAAUGCGAACACUACGGCCGCCAACUCCAAAUCAUGCGUCGGGUAGUUCUUUUCAUAUUCCUUUAGUUGGCGAGAAGCAUACGCGAUCACCUUGCCAUCCUGCAUCAUUACACAGCACAAUCCGUUAAGUGAAGCAUCACUAUAAACCACAUACCUUACUCCAGCUACUGGUAGGGUCAAGAUCGGGGCGGUAGUCAAUCGUUGCUUCAACUCUUGGAAGCUUCGCUCGCACGCGUCAUUCCAAAUGAACUUGACUCCUUUAUGCGUGAGCCUCGUGAGGGGAGUAGAUAACCUUGCAAAUCCCUCAACGAAUCUCCGGUAGUAACCGGCCAACCCAAGGAAGCUCCGUAUCUCUGUGACGCUCGUCGGUCUCGGCCAAUCCUUGAUUGCUUCAAUCUUCUUGGGAUCCACGGCUAUACCCGAUCCCGAAAUCAAAUGUCCAAGGAAAGCUACCUCUCGAAGCCAAAAUUCACAUUCUUUAACUUGGCAUAAAGCUCCUUUUCCCGAAAUACUUGGAGUACAAUCCUCAAAUGCUCCUCGUGAUCUGCAUCACUUCGAGAGUAGACCAAAAUGUCGUCGAUGAACACCAUGACGAACCUGUCUAGAUAAGGCUUGAAAACAUGGUUCAUUAGAUCCAUAAAAGCUAUCGGGGCAUUAGUCAGCCCAAACGGCAUAACUUUGAACUCAUAGUGUCCAUACCGUGUUCUAAAAGCCGUCUUCGAUACAUCCUCGGGCUUGAUCUUCAAUUGGUGGUAUCCCGACUGCAAGUCUAUCUUGGAAUACACGCAUGAUCCCUGAAGCUGAUCAAACAAGUCGUCGAUUUUCGGCAACGGAUACUUGUUCUUGAUCGUGACCUUAUUAAGUUCACGAUAAUCCACGCAAAGGCGAAGUGAUCCGUCUUUCUUCUUGACGAACAUAACUGGUGCUCCCCAAGGUGAAACGCUCGGUCGAAUGAAGCCUCUGUCAAACAAAUCCUGCAACUGUGCCCUCAGCUCCCUCAGCUCUGCCGGUGCCAUCCUAUAGGGUGCCUUUGAGAUUGGGGUAGUCCCAGGGACGAGAUCUACCACAAACUCAAUCUCCCUAUCAGGAGGCAUACGGGGGGAAGAGAUCUAUCGCAUCCCCGUCAAAAACAACCCCAAAUCAUGCGAAAGUAAAGAAGUGUUCUACAUACUAACUCCGAUGUUACGUUGUCAGCCGCCAACAGUAACUUCCGGGAAGUUAAAGCCAAAACACUCAAUCAACUCUAACUUUUUAGGGUUAUCAUAAUACCCAAUCAUGAUACUUCGCUCACAAGAUCGAAUAGACCUCGUCUCUCCGAGCUAUUUCCUAUAGUCCAACCGGCCUAAGUUUGCUAGGUCCACUAGGACUCAACCCUAGGCUCUGAUACAAUUUAAUCUGUCAGCCCGACCCAGCGGAACGCCGCGGCACGUGCCAGACGCCGUCAUACGUCUAAAAAACUAUAAAGCUCUAAAACAGACGAUAAUAAAAGCAGUAAUAAAAGCAUCUAGGAGUAUCAGAGCAUAUAAAUGUCUAAUGAUACAAGAAAUUCCAGAUACAAAUGCUAUAGGUAGAUCAUAGGUGGUCUCUAUACAUGGAUACAAAACUCUCACCUCACAACUACAAAAAGAAAUGUAAACACCUAGGCAAGUAUGUACCGCUUCGCUAGUAGCUAAGCGAUCCAUUGCGCGAUCCCGUGCUCCGCCGGUGCCGAAGGCUCUGAAAGUAAACUAUAAAACGGGGGCGUGAGAACUAUUAAAUAGUUCCAGUGGGCAAUUACUGAUUUCAGUGAAUGCACCACAAGGCCAAAGCACAAAAGAUUCAGUGACUAUAAAUAGUAAAACGAAGAUAAGUAAAAAUGCAACUACUAGCAACAUGAUAUCUCUACUUAGCAUAAAUAGCAUAAUUAUGAAGCAACUAUGCAUGGAGUAAAAGUCUCCAGCUAUAUAACGUUCACAUGCGAAAUAGUAAGUUCCGUUGUUUACUAUUCUAUGUCAAUGUCCAAGUAUACACUAAGUCAACAUCUGUCCACAUGUCAUAAUGAAUACUCAAAGUCAAAUCUGAAGAGACCCACCGAAGGCUGUCUAUGGCCCUGUGACCUACAGUAGGCUGUCUGGCCGGUGCGAGCCAUGGCCCGUUGUAGUCAUCAUCCACCCUAGAAUGAGCCUGGCCCAGCGCAAUCCACUCUGGCGCCCAUCCCGCACGGGAAUAUGAGGCAUGGCUAUCUCCGGAGUCCGACUGUGUAGGGAGCGACCCUCACAAGCAUGUGCGAAUGAGCACAAUGGCAAAUAGUCAAACGAUCUGUCGCAAUACAAGUCCUCAUGUCUAAUAACAUGGAAUGUGUCAAGUAUCCUAAU